Molecule: non-coding RNA, 310 nt
Organism: Mus musculus (house mouse)
Lineage: Eukaryota; Metazoa; Chordata; Mammalia; Rodentia; Muridae
Source: the annotation of a RefSeq genome assembly
AUGGGAUGGAACUGGAUCUUUAUUUUAAUCCUGUCAGUAACUACAGGUGUCCACUCUGAGGUCCAGCUGCAGCAGUCUGGACCUGAGCUGGUGAAGCCUGGGGCUUCAGUGAAGAUAUCCUGCAAGGCUUCUGGUUACUCAUUCACUGGCUACUACAUGAACUGGGUGAAGCAAAGUCCUGAAAAGAGCCUUGAGUGGAUUGGAGAGAUUAAUCCUAGCACUGGUGGUACUACCUACAACCAGAAGUUCAAGGCCAAGGCCACAUUGACUGUAGACAAAUCCUCCAGCACAGCCUACAUGCAGCUCAAGA